GAUGAACGCUGGCGGCGUGCCUAAUACAUGCAAGUCGAGCGAACAGACGAGGAGCUUGCUCCUCUGACGUUAGCGGCGGACGGGUGAGUAACACGUGGAUAACCUACCUAUAAGACUGGGAUAACUUCGGGAAACCGGAUCUAAUACCGGAUAAUAUAUUGAACCGCAUGGUUCAAUAGUGAAAUACGGUUUUGCUGUCACUUAUAGAUGGAUCCGCGCCGCAUUAGCUAGUUGGUAAGGUAACGGCUUACCAAGGCGACGAUGCGUAGCCGACCUGAGAGGGUGAUCGGCCACACUGGAACUGAGACACGGUCCAGACUCCUACGGGAGGCAGCAGUAGGGAAUCUUCCGCAAUGGGCGAAAGCCUGACGGAGCAACGCCGCGUGAGUGAUGAAGGUCUUCGGAUCGUAAAACUCUGUUAUUAGGGAAGAACAAAUGUGUAAGUAACUAUGCACGUCUUGACGGUACCUAAUCAGAAAGCCACGGCUAACUACGUG
Molecule: ribosomal RNA, 497 nt
Filed under: uncultured bacterium
Lineage: Bacteria
Description: partial 16S ribosomal RNA
Rfam family: Bacterial small subunit ribosomal RNA
Source: RNAcentral